Molecule: long non-coding RNA, 1068 nt
Filed under: Homo sapiens (human)
Lineage: Eukaryota; Metazoa; Chordata; Mammalia; Primates; Hominidae
Description: LNC_000500
Source: RNAcentral
GUGCUGAACCACGUACAGAAGGGGGCUGAGACACCGGGGCCCUGGGCCCCGGAAAUUAGAAAUGGAGAAAUGGAAGGCUGGGUGCUGGCGUUUCGGAAAUGCAUGCUCGUGGUGUUCCUCUUUAUGUAAGGGAAGCUUCUGGGCCUUUUCCCUGCCUGUCGAACGUUCUGUAUGUUUUUGCGGGAUGUGUGAGGUGUGCUGUCUUGCUCCACUUUGAGGCACCGCCCCCACUGCGGGAGUGCUGGGGACCUGCCCCAUGGGGCAUCCUCGGGGCCAGCCCUGUGGCCACAGGCAUCUGGGCCCUCGCUGCCCCUGGCCGGGACACACUGCCGGUCCUGUGCAGUGGCUCAAAGCCCCUCUACCGGGGGUGACCCGGUCUCUCCGGAGAUGAAGUGCAGCGGGGGUCUAGGCCGGCUUCCUGGCCCCCCACCCCUCCUGGCUUUACCCCCGAGGCCACGUCCAAAGCCCCCAGCGCCCCACCCCCGCCAGCCUCCCCCUUGAGGGCCCAGUGACCUAACUGGGCCGGCAGGGUCCGAGGAAGACCAGGGUCAGCGGCGGCACGGUCCGUUCCGCGACCCCUCUCCUGUGACCCCAGGUAGGCCGCCGAUCGGUUCCCGGCUGAGGUCCCGCCCCAGCGCCCGCCUCCCGGGCUCCAACCUCUUUGCUCAGCCCGGGAGGCUCGGCUGGCUGGGGCGGGCGUAACCGUGGGGCGAGGCCCGCCGGUCUUUCUGAUUUCCGCGGGCGGCGUGGGCGCUGAGGCAGCCGCGGUCAGGACCUGGCCGGGAGUCGGGGCUGCUCCGUGGACCCCGCGUCUGCGCCGAAACCCCGCAUGGCUUCGGGGGCCGGACCUGCGCCUCCGCCUAACUCCGGCCGCCGGAGACGCCGUGCGGACCCCAAGCCAGUGCGCGGAAGACACCGUCCUACCCUCGGCAUGGCUGCCUCCCACCCGGUCACGUCGGUCCCCGCGCCCCACGCCGACGCGCAGGCGACCCGGGGACGCGGAGACGCAGACAGCUCGGGACUCAGUGGGGACAGCCUGGCUUGGCGGGGACGCACCAGUCCCGCCGC